GCGGGAGUAGCUCAGCUGGUUAGAGCACCUGGUUGUGGUCCAGGGGGUCGGGGGUUCGAGUCCCCUCUCUCGCCCCA
Molecule: transfer RNA, 77 nt
Filed under: Rhodospirillales bacterium
Lineage: Bacteria; Pseudomonadati; Pseudomonadota; Alphaproteobacteria; Rhodospirillales
Description: tRNA-His
Rfam family: tRNA
About the family: Transfer RNA (tRNA) molecules are approximately 80 nucleotides in length. Their secondary structure includes four short double-helical elements and three loops (D, anti-codon, and T loops). Further hydrogen bonds mediate the characteristic L-shaped molecular structure. tRNAs have two regions of fundamental functional importance: the anti-codon, which is responsible for specific mRNA codon recognition, and the 3' end, to which the tRNAs corresponding amino acid is attached (by aminoacyl-tRNA synthetases). tRNAs cope with the degeneracy of the genetic code in two manners: having more than one tRNA (with a specific anti-codon) for a particular amino acid; and 'wobble' base-pairing, i.e. permitting non-standard base-pairing at the 3rd anti-codon position.
Source: RNAcentral